Molecule: ribosomal RNA, 468 nt
Filed under: uncultured bacterium
Lineage: Bacteria
Description: partial 16S ribosomal RNA
Rfam family: Bacterial small subunit ribosomal RNA
Source: RNAcentral
GACGAACGCUGGCGGCGUGCUUAACACAUGCAAGUCGAACGGAAAGGCCCUGCUUUUGUGGGGUGCUCGAGUGGCGAACGGGUGAGUAACACGUGAGUAACCUGCCCUUGACUUUGGGAUAACUUCAGGAAACUGGGGCUAAUACCGUAUAGGAGCUCCUGCUGCAUGGUGGGGGUUGGAUAGUUUCGGCGGUUGGGGAUGGACUCGCGGCUUAUCAGCUUGUUGGUUGGGUAGUGGCUUACCAAGGCUUUGACGGGUAGCCGGCAUGAGAGGGUGACCGGGCACAAGGGGACUGAGAGACGGACCAGACUGCAACGGGAGGCAGCAGGGGGGAAUAUUGCACAAUGGGCGGAAGCCGGAGGAAGAAACGCCGCGGGCGGGAUGACGGCCUUCGGGGUGUAAACAGCUGUCGCCUGUGACGAAGCGGGAGUGACGGUAAUGGGUAAAGAAGCACCGGCUAACUACGUG